CAAACACUCUCCUCUUUUUUUUUCUCCACAAUUUCGGGAUUACGAUCUUGUCUCAUCGCUGCAACUCCCCAACUGGCUCUCGGGAGAGGCGAAGGUCGAGUCAUGUGACCUCCGGAAACAACGCGAUUCUUAACACCAGCCCCGCUUAAUCCAGAAGCCAGCUGCACCACUGUGUCGGACGAAACACUGUUCAACUGACGACCAGGUUCAGCCUGCUGGCGCCCUGCCCGCCACAAGGAGUCGCUAGAGCGCGAUGAGCCAAUUAGAGUGUAGGGGGGCGGCAGGUAGCCUAGUGGUUAGACUGGAGGGGCGGCAGGUAGCCUAGUGGUUAGAGUGGAGGGGCGGCAGGUAGCCUAGUGGUUAGAGUGUAGGGGCGGCAGGUAGCCAAGUGGUUAGAGUGGAGGGGCGGCAGGUAGCCUAGUGGUUAGAGUGGAGGGGCGGCAGGUAGCCUAGUGGUUAGAGUGGAGGGGCGGCAGGUAGCCUAGUGGUUAGAGUGGAGGGGCGGCAGGUAGCCUAGUGGUUAGAGUGGAGGGGCGGCAGGUAGCCUAGUGGUUAGAGUGGAGGGGCGGCAGGUAGCCUAGUGGUUAGAGUGGAGGGGCGGCAGGUAGCGAAGUGGUUAGAGUGGAGGGGCGGCAGGUAGCCUAGUGGUUAGAGUGUAGGGGCGGCAGGUAGCCUAGUGGUUAGAGUGUUGUGCCAGUCAUCCAAAGGUUUACUGGCUCUAGACACCACCCUGCAGAUUGACUGUCGCCUCUAAAGUCAGCAGUUCAUGGAGAUUGGAGAGGAUCCUCCUCUUCAGGGAGAUUGGAGAAGGGCCUCCUCUUCAGGGAGAUUGGAGAAGGGCCUCCUCUUCAGGGAGA
This 857-nucleotide long non-coding RNA is filed under the name Salmo salar (Atlantic salmon). RNAcentral's name for it is "lncRNA (ENSSSAG00000101909.1)". The record is from RNAcentral. Lineage: Eukaryota; Metazoa; Chordata; Actinopteri; Salmoniformes; Salmonidae.